RNAcentral lists this ribosomal RNA (519 nucleotides) under uncultured bacterium. RNAcentral's name for it is "bacterial SSU rRNA". It matches the Rfam family "Bacterial small subunit ribosomal RNA", at positions 8 to 518 of the family's 1533-position model. The record is from RNAcentral.
AGAGUUUGAUUAUGGCUCAGGAUGAACGCUAGCGACAGCUUAACACAUGCAAGUCGAGGGCAGACAUAAAAGUAGCAAUACGUUGUGGCGACCGGCGCACGGGUGAGUAACGCGUAUGCAACCUACCUAUCAGACGGGGAAGUAACCCGGCGAAAGUCGGACUAAUACCGCAUAAAACAGGGGCACCGCAUGGUGAUAUUUGUUAAAGAGAUUCGCUGAUAGAUGGGCAUGCGUUCCAUUAGGUAGUUGGUGAGGUAACGGCUCACCAAGCCGACGAUGGAUAGGGGAACUGAGAGGUUGGUCCCCCACACUGGUACUGAGACACGGACCAGACUCCUACGGGAGGCAGCAGUGAGGAAUAUUGGUCAAUGGGCGGGAGCCUGAACCAGCCAAGUCCGCGUGAAGGAAGAAGGAUCUAUGGUUCGUAAACUUCUUUUGCAGGGGAAUAAAGUGCAGGACGUGUCCUGUUUUGUAUGUACCCUGAGAAUAAGGAUCGGCUAACUCCGUGCCAGCCGCCGC